Molecule: ribosomal RNA, 1489 nt
Filed under: metagenome
Description: bacterial LSU rRNA
Rfam family: Bacterial large subunit ribosomal RNA
Source: RNAcentral
CGCGAUGGAGGGACGGAGAAGGCUAGGCCAGCUUGGCGUUGGUUGUCCAAGUUUAAGGUGGUAGGCUGGAAUCUUAGGUAAAUCCGGGAUUCUAAGGCCAGAGCUGAUGACGAGUGUUCUUUUAGAACACGAAGUGGUUGAUGCCAUGCUUCCAAGAAAAGCUUCUAAGCUUCAGGUAACCAGGAACCGUACCCCAAACCGACACAGGUGGUUGGGUAGAGAAUACCAAGGCGCUUGAGAGAACUUGGGUGAAGGAACUAGGCAAAAUGGCACCGUAACUUCGGGAGAAGGUGCGCCGGUGAGGGUGAAGCAUUUACUGCGUAAGCCCACGUCGGUCGAAGAUACCAGGCCGCUGCGACUGUUUAUUAAAAACACAGCACUCUGCAAACACGAAAGUGGACGUGUAGGGUGUGACGCCUGCCCGGUGCCGGAAGGUUAAUUGAUGGGGUUAGCUAACGCGAAGCUCUUGAUCGAAGCCCCGGUAAACGGCGGCCGUAACAAUAACGGUCCUAAGGUAGCGAAAUUCCUUGUCGGGUAAGUUCCGACCUGCACGAAUGGCGUAACGAUGGCGGCGCUGUCUCCACCCGAGACUCAGUGAAAUUGAAAUCGCUGUGAAGAUGCAGUGUAUCCGCGGCUAGACGGAAAGACCCCGUGAACCUUUACUAUAGCUUUGCACUGGACUUUGAAUUUGCUUGUGUAGGAUAGGUGGGAGGCUUUGAAGCGUGGACGCCAGUUCGCGUGGAGCCAUCCUUGAAAUACCACCCUGGCAACUUUGAGGUUCUAACUCAGGUCCGUUAUCCGGAUCGAGGACAGUGUAUGGUGGGUAGUUUGACUGGGGCGGUCUCCUCCUAAAGAGUAACGGAGGAGUACGAAGGUGCGCUCAGACCGGUCGGAAAUCGGUCGUAGAGUAUAAAGGCAAAAGCGCGCUUGACUGCGAGACAGACACGUCGAGCAGGUACGAAAGUAGGUCUUAGUGAUCCGGUGGUUCUGUAUGGAAGGGCCAUCGCUCAACGGAUAAAAGGUACUCCGGGGAUAACAGGCUGAUACCGCCCAAGAGUUCAUAUCGACGGCGGUGUUUGGCACCUCGAUGUCGGCUCAUCACAUCCUGGGGCUGAAGCCGGUCCCAAGGGUAUGGCUGUUCGCCAUUUAAAGUGGUACGCGAGCUGGGUUUAGAACGUCGUGAGACAGUUCGGUCCCUAUCUGCCGUGGACGUUUGAGAUUUGAGAGGGGCUGCUCCUAGUACGAGAGGACCGGAGUGGACGAACCUCUGGUGUUCCGGUUGUCACGCCAGUGGCAUUGCCGGGUAGCUAUGUUCGGAAUAGAUAACCGCUGAAAGCAUCUAAGCGGGAAACUAGCCUCAAGAUGAGAUAUCACUGGAACCUUGAGUUCCCUGAAGGGCCGUCGAAGACUACGACGUUGAUAGGUUGGGUGUGUAAGCGCUGUGAGGCGUUGAGCUAACCAAUACUAAUUGCCCGUGAGGCUUGACCAA